UUUAAGGCUGAUUCAAGUGCCCAACGCAGCACAACAAACAAAGCCACCACUCUCACCAUUGACCAAGAGAGGACCUUGGGACUACUGGAGGUCGUCGAUCAGGUGUAUCCUUCUGUGGUUGGAACUUAAGCUUGUGCAUGGCGGAGUAGGUGGUGGCAGCUAAGAAAGAAGAAGCAGAGCAGGGCGGAAGAGACCUUCAGAGUUUUGGUUCUCAUAUUUUCCGUUUUUGGCUUGCUAGGUUUUUGCAGAUUCACGGCAGAGGUGAGAAAUUGAGAGAGAACUAACAUAACUUUUCGUAAUGUUGAUGCACAAAAUCGAAGGGGUCUUGGAACAACGUAAAUCCGACUGCGAAUCUGCAAGUAAGUUAUGUAACACAAGAUGUAUCGUGGUUCACCCCAAGGUUUGGGCUACGUCCACACUGAUUAUGUAUUUAUCUGAGGGAGAGAUAACUCUAAGAUGAGAGCUUUGAGAGGGGGUGAGAGGGCCUAGGAAUUGGCCUCUCUAAUUGUGAGGGUGAGGGAUCCUUUUAUAGAAUAAGGACUUCUCACUUAUUACAUAUUUGCCCCUUCCUUUAUCACAUAAUUACAUUUAAGUCCCCCGAGUAUUUGUACGAGAUCUAAAUACGAGGCCCUAAAUAUGGUAUAAACAAAAGGAGAAUAAAUUUUUUUUUUGUAUUAGCUUAAUGUAUAUAUGGAAAGUAUCAGACAAAUAUAAUCAUGAAUUUAAUUUAGAAUUUUCAAAUUUAGUUUAAACAUUGGGAAGUAAGCAUGUAAAUAUAAUAGAAGUAAAACCCCCAAGACAACAAUUUUUUACAAUUUUUUAGAAGGAACCCAAUGAGCAUUACCUAAAGUAGCAAGAAACUGGCAGCCUGAUUGUGUACAAAUAUAUGAAGUUAGCGAUUUAAACUCGAACUCGAUUGCACCGCCAUGUUUGUAAAUUUUCUCUUUUUUGUAGUAGUCUUAUCUUUGCCCCUUUGGUUCUCAUCAAGAAAUUAUAUUCUUUGGUUGAUAAUAACUACAACUGUGAAGUUGGAACGGGUGGGAAAUUUUUAGUUUCUACAAAUGAAAUUGAGUUAAGUAUAAUAAUUACACUCGCUCUAAUAGAACUGAUAGAAAAGAUGAUACUACAUGAUCAGAAAGUUGAUGUCGCAAGAUUAUCGAUCAGUGCAACUUCACCGCUGCUUAUUGCCUUGGGGGUAGGCAACCCAAUUCACUCUAGCCCACUCGGGCAAUUGGAGCCAAGGAGAGCUCGAUGGAGAAGUCAGGCAAUAAUUGCAUAGUCUAGUGCCCUGCCUAUGUGAUGUCAUCCACAAUUUCAAUUAUUAAAACAUUAUAAAAAAACUAAUUAAAAAUGUAAAAAAUUAUAAUUUUUUUUUCUAUAAAUACAUAACCAUAUUCUUCCACUUUAUACUACAUUUCAACAUUUUCAAAUACUUUUAACUGAUCUUUUAUUAUUAUCUGAAAUUAAAAAUAAAGUUAUCUUUUAUUAUUUUAUAAAAUUAAAGAUACUAAUAUUUUAAUACGAAUUGCCUUGGCUAUUCAGGUUGCAAUGCAUUUGGACAGUUACUGUUCAUUUAAGAGAAUUGAGUUGCCUAUUGCCUAGGGGGCUUCCUACACUAGAAGUGCUCUCAUAGUGGUGUCUUGGAUAUGUGUUAGAGAAAGGAUAAAAUUGUUCCAACAGGAUCCUCUUUGGAUCCUUUUGGUGAGGAUCCUUUCUGGAUCUUUUUGGUGAGGAUCCUAGAGAUCCGUAAAUCGUAUCCGUUCAUUGUACAUCGUGUGGUCAGUUUUUGUCAUGUACUUGUAUUUAAUUUUAAAUAAAAAUAUUUAAAAUGAUUUCUGACAUGAUGUAUGAUAAACGGAUAUGAUUCAUGGAUCACUGGAAUCCUCACAAAGAGGAUUCAGCGAGGAUCUGGAUUCAAAAUUGUUGAGCAUUGAAUGGAUUCCUGUGACAAUGUCAUGGAUCUUAUUGGACUUCUUCAUGAGCAGUAAUAAGUUCUUGCGCAGGAUAUAACUGUUAGUUAUAUCAAACCAGACGU
This 2035-nucleotide long non-coding RNA is filed under the name Malus domestica (apple). RNAcentral describes it as "long non-coding RNA (MDOM_LNC017766)". Lineage: Eukaryota; Viridiplantae; Streptophyta; Magnoliopsida; Rosales; Rosaceae. The record is from RNAcentral.